AUAGGGGAGCCGAAGGGAAACCGAGUCUUAACUGGGCGUUAAGUUGCAGGGUAUAGACCCGAAACCCGGUGAUCUAGCCAUGGGCAGGUUGAAGGUUGGGUAACACUAACUGGAGGACCGAACCGACUAAUGUUGAAAAAUUAGCGGAUGACUUGUGGCUGGGGGUGAAAGGCCAAUCAAACCGGGAGAUAGCUGGUUCUCCCCGAAAGCUAUUUAGGUAGCGCCUCGUGAAUUCAUCUCCGGGGGUAGAGCACUGUUUCGGCAAGGGGGUCAUCCCGACUUACCAACCCGAUGCAAACUGCGAAUACCGGAGAAUGUUAUCACGGGAGACACACGGCGGGUGCUAACGUCCGUCGUGAAGAGGGAAACAACCCAGACCGCCAGCUAAGGUCCCAAAGUCAUGGUUAAGUGGGAAACGAUGUGGGAAGGCCCAGACAGCCAGGAUGUUGGCUUAGAAGCAGCCAUCAUUUAAAGAAAGCGUAAUAGCUCACUGGUCGAGUCGGCCUGCGCGGAAGAUGUAACGGGGCUAAACCAUGCACCGAAGCUGCGGCAGCGACACUGUGUGUUGUUGGGUAGGGGAGCGUUCUGUAAGCCUGUGAAGGUGUGCUGUGAGGCAUGCUGGAGGUAUCAGAAGUGCGAAUGCUGACAUAAGUAACGAUAAAGCGGGUGAAAAGCCCGCUCGCCGGAAGACCAAGGGUUCCUGUCCAACGUUAAUCGGGGCAGGGUGAGUCGACCCCUAAGGCGAGGCCGAAAGGCGUAGUCGAUGGGAAACAGGUUAAUAUUCCUGUACUUGGUGUUACUGCGAAGGGGGGACGGAGAAGGCUAUGUUGGCCGGGCGACGGUUGUCCCGGUUUAAGCGUGUAGGCUGGUUUUCCAGGCAAAUCCGGAAAAUCAAGGCUGAGGCGUGAUGACGAGGCACUACGGUGCUGAAGCAACAAAUGCCCUGCUUCCAGGAAAAGCCUCUAAGCAUCAGGUAACAUCAAAUCGUACCCCAAACCGACACAGGUGGUCAGGUAGAGAAUACCAAGGCGCUUGAGAGAACUCGGGUGAAGGAACUAGGCAAAAUGGUGCCGUAACUUCGGGAGAAGGCACGCUGAUAUGUAGGUGAAGUCCCUCGCGGAUGGAGCUGAAAUCAGUCGAAGAUACCAGCUGGCUGCAACUGUUUAUUAAAAACACAGCACUGUGCAAACACGAAAGUGGACGUAUACGGUGUGACGCCUGCCCGGUGCCGGAAGGUUAAUUGAUGGGGUCAGCGCAAGCGAAGCUCUUGAUCGAAGCCCCGGUAAACGGCGGCCGUAACUAUAACGGUCCUAAGGUAGCGAAAUUCCUUGUCGGGUAAGUUCCGACCUGCACGAAUGGCGUAAUGAUGGCCAGGCUGUCUCCACCCGAGACUCAGUGAAAUUGAACUCGCUGUGAAGAUGCAGUGUACCCGCGGCAAGACGGAAAGACCCCGUGAACCUUUACUAUAGCUUGACACUGAACAUUGAGCCUUGAUGUGUAGGAUAGGUGGGAGGCUUUGAAGUGUGGACGCCAGUCUGCAUGGAGCCGACCUUGAAAUACCACCCUUUAAUGUUUGAUGUUCUAACGUGGACCCGUGAUCCGGGUUGCGGACAGUGUCUGGUGGGUAGUUUGACUGGGGCGGUCUCCUCCUAAAGAGUAACGGAGGAGCACGAAGGUUGGCUAAUCCUGGUCGGACAUCAGGAGGUUAGUGCAAUGGCAUAAGCCAGCUUGACUGCGAGCGUGACGGCGCGAGCAGGUGCGAAAGCAGGUCAUAGUGAUCCGGUGGUUCUGAAUGGAAGGGCCAUCGCUCAACGGAUAAAAGGUACUCCGGGGAUAACAGGCUGAUACCGCCCAAGAGUUCAUAUCGACGGCGGUGUUUGGCACCUCGAUGUCGGCUCAUCACAUCCUGGGGCUGAAGUAGGUCCCAAGGGUAUGGCUGUUCGCCAUUUAAAGUGGUACGCGAGCUGGGUUUAGAACGUCGUGAGACAGUUCGGUCCCUAUCUGCCGUGGGCGCUGGAGAACUGAGGGGGGCUGCUCCUAGUACGAGAGGACCGGAGUGGACGCAUCACUGGUGUUCGGGUUGUCAUGCCAAUGGCACUGCCCGGUAGCUAAAUGCGGAAGAGAUAAGUGCUGAAAGCAUCUAAGCACGAAACUUGCCCCGAGAUGAGUUCUCCCUGACCCUUUAAGGGUCCUGAAGGAACGUUGAAGACGACGACGUUGAUAGGCCGGGUGUGUAAGCGCAGCGAUGCGUUGAGCUAACCGGUACUAAUGAACCGUGAGGCUUAACCUUACAACGCCGAAGGUGUUU
RNAcentral lists this ribosomal RNA (2308 nucleotides) under Escherichia coli. RNAcentral describes it as "partial 23S ribosomal RNA". It matches the Rfam family "Bacterial large subunit ribosomal RNA", at positions 657 to 2925 of the family's 2925-position model. The record is from RNAcentral. Lineage: Bacteria; Pseudomonadati; Pseudomonadota; Gammaproteobacteria; Enterobacterales; Enterobacteriaceae.